UACGGGAGGCAGCAGUGGGGAAUUUUGGACAAUGGACGCAAGUCUGAUCCAGCAAUGCCGCGUGCAGGAUGAAGGCCUUCGGGUUGUAAACUGCUUUUGUACAGAACGAAAAGGCUCUGGUUAAUACCUGGGGCUCAUGACGGUACUGUAAGAAUAAGCACCGGCUAACUACGUGCCAGCAGCCGCGGUAAUACGUAGGGUGCGAGCGUUAAUCGGAAUUACUGGGCGUAAAGCGUGCGCAGGCGGUUUUGUAAGACCGAUGUGAAAUCCCCGGGCUCAACCUGGGAACUGCAUUGGUGACUGCAAGGCUGGAGUGCGGCAGAGGGGGAUGGAAUUCCGCGUGUAGCAGUGAAAUGCGUAGAUAUGCGGAGGAACACCGAUGGCGAAGGCAAUCCCCUGGGCCUGCACUGACGCUCAUGCACGAAAGCGUGGGGAGCAAACACGGAUUAGAUACCCUGGUAGUCCACGCCCUAAACGAUGUCAACUGGUUGUUGGGUAUUUGCUUACUCAGUAACGAAGCUAACGCGUGAAGUGCCCGCCUGGA
This 544-nucleotide ribosomal RNA is filed under the name uncultured beta proteobacterium. RNAcentral describes it as "bacterial SSU rRNA". It matches the Rfam family "Bacterial small subunit ribosomal RNA", at positions 340 to 877 of the family's 1533-position model. The record is from RNAcentral. Lineage: Bacteria; Pseudomonadati; Pseudomonadota; Betaproteobacteria.